This 402-nucleotide ribosomal RNA is filed under the name bacterium. RNAcentral describes it as "partial 16S ribosomal RNA". It matches the Rfam family "Bacterial small subunit ribosomal RNA", at positions 355 to 776 of the family's 1533-position model. The record is from RNAcentral.
UGGGGAAUUUUGCACAAUGGGGGAAACCCUGAUGCAGCGACGCCGCGUGAUUUAGAAGGCCUUCGGGUUGUAAAAAUCUUUUCUAUGGGAAGAAAAUGACAGUACCAUAGGAAUAAGGACCGGCUAAUUACGUGCCAGCAGCCGCGGUAAUACGUAAGGUCCGAGCGUUGUCCGGAAUCAUUGGGCGUAAAGGGUACGUAGGCGGGUAAGCAAGUUAGAAGUGAAAUCCUAUAGCUCAACUAUAGUAAGUUUUUAAAACUGCUCAUCUUUAGGUAUGGAAGGGAAAGUGGAAUUCCUAGUGUAGCGGUGAAAUGCGCAGAUAUUACGAGGAAUACCGGUGGCGAAGGCGACUUUCUGGCCAUAACCUGACGCUGAGGUACGAAAGCGUGGGUAGCAAACAGG